AUACGAAGGGGGCUAGCGUUGCUCGGAAUCACUGGGCGUAAAGCGCACGUAGGCGGACUCUUAAGUCGGUGGUGAAAUCCUGGAGCUCAACUCCGGAACUGCCUUCGAUACUGAGAGUCUCGAGUCCGGGAGAGGUGAGUGGAACUGUGAGUGUAGAGGUGAAAUUCGUAGAUAUUCGCAAGAACACCAGUGGCGAAGGCGGCUCACUGGCCCGGUACUGACGCUGAGGUGCGAAAGCGGGGGGAGCAAACAGGAUUAGAUACCCUGGUAGUCUACGCCGUAAACGAUGGAUGCUAGCCGUUGGCAGGCUUGCCUGUCAGUGGCGCAGCUAACGCAUUAAGCAUCCCGCCUGGGGAGUACGGUCGCAAGAUUAAAACUCAAAUGAAUUGACGGGG
This 395-nucleotide ribosomal RNA is filed under the name uncultured bacterium. RNAcentral's name for it is "partial 16S ribosomal RNA". It matches the Rfam family "Bacterial small subunit ribosomal RNA", at positions 523 to 918 of the family's 1533-position model. The record is from RNAcentral.